RNAcentral lists this microRNA (22 nucleotides) under Gallus gallus (chicken). RNAcentral's name for it is "gga-miR-6611-5p". Lineage: Eukaryota; Metazoa; Chordata; Aves; Galliformes; Phasianidae. The record is from miRBase by way of RNAcentral.
UGCUGGAUCCAGUGACACUUCA